CGAAAAAAAAAAGGUACGCGUCCGCGAGUGUGCAGCCCGUUUGUGUGUUUCUGUGUGUGUAUCUCAGCUCGAGGUGUGUGCAAGAAGAAAAGGGACGACGAGUUCGCCAAAGAGGACAAAGAAACCGACAGUAUCCCUCCCAUCGUCCCCUUGCACCGUUACGCACGCAACGGCUCCUUCUCACCCACCCCGAAAGUCGAACGCAAGCAGGAGAAAAAAAACAAAAACGAGCAAACACGCACCACCAAAGAGCCCAUGCCCGUUUACGAUAUCGCCGCACGGAAGCGAAAGAAUCUGCUGCGCCGCCGGGAGGAGGAGGCCGCGCACGCAGAGGACGACAAGGAUCACUCCCCGGAUGAAGACGAGGAAGACGGCGAGGACUUCGAGGAUGAUGAAUAUGUGGACUCGGAUGAAGAGGUAGAAGAGAUGGAGGAGGCGCCCCCGAAGGCGCCAGCGGCUUCGAAGAAGGGAGCAGCCGACGCUGCAUCCAAGUCGGCUGCCACUGCUGCUUGUGCCACCCGCGUGGAGUUUAGUGAGCCGGCGCAGUGGGUGGAGCGGAUGGCCCUCACGUCAACCCGCUCCCUCCCGAGCGACCUCAACGCCGAUGACGACCCAAAGCGCGAGGAGGCGUUUAUUCAGCAAACGCUGCUAUCCGUGACACGUGGCAUCUCGCUUCUGGAGGAGGCUAAUGUGCCCUGGAAGCGACCGGAUGACUACUAUGCCGAAAUGUACAAGAGUGACGUUCACAUGAAUGAUGUGCGGCAGGCGAUGGAGGCCUCGAAGGCGCGCAUCGAGGCACAGGCGCACCGCCGCUCCAUGAAGGAGCAGAAGAAGUACGGCAAGGAGGUGCAGGCAGAAGUGCUGCGACAGCGUGCCAAGCACAAGCGCGACAUGCAGGAGAGCUUGAGCGACUGGCGCAAGAAGCGACGUGGUAAUGGCUCGCUGCAAGACAUGUUGAACGACGACGAUGACGUCGAUAGGGACGCAAAGCGCUCCAAGGCGCAGCGCACGCCUCGGGCGCGCAAUCUGCGCCCGGGCGGCAACAAGCGACCUGGCAAGAACGCGCGCCGUCGUCGCUGAUUUGCUGGUGUCUGUGUACAUACCCGUUACAGGGGUGGCUAUGGAACAUAUGGAGCUGUGCUUGGAGCCGUGUGUCUGCACAUGCGUGCCUUUUUUAUGUUCCUAAUGAUUUUCUGAUCGGUUAAUAAGGUGAGCCCACCAGUGCAUCUGUGUGCGAGCAAUGUCUACCUCUCUUUUCUCUUCCACUGGGCCUUCAUCAUGCCGCUAUUCCUUCGCGCGGAACAACGUGAGUUUGGAGUGUAGCGCCAGCGGAGGAGGAGAAUGCGUCGGGCUAAGAGCAGGGUUCGUGGUGGCAUCACACACGCGCAUAAACACAAACAGCUGUACAGGCGCCCAGCCAGUGUCUAAGGAUGAGGAACACAAAACGCAAAAAUAAACGCCUAAAACGUUCACAUGCGUACAGCGUCUCAUCGUGAAGUGGAACAUGUGUGUGCAUCGGCCUCCAGAC
This 1528-nucleotide unclassified non-coding RNA is filed under the name Leishmania donovani. Its description in RNAcentral is "gene:LdHU3.35.2380(CDS-product:Eukaryotic_rRNA_pr ocessing_protein_EBP2_putative)". Lineage: Eukaryota; Euglenozoa; Kinetoplastea; Trypanosomatida; Trypanosomatidae. The record is from RNAcentral.